This 1197-nucleotide ribosomal RNA is filed under the name uncultured organism. Its description in RNAcentral is "bacterial SSU rRNA". It matches the Rfam family "Bacterial small subunit ribosomal RNA", at positions 199 to 1426 of the family's 1533-position model. The record is from RNAcentral.
GAGUAAAGAUUUCGGUCGCUUUGGGAGGAGCUCGCUUACUAUCAGCUUGUUGGUAGGGUAAUGGCCUACCAAGGCUAUGACGGUUAGGGGGUGUGAGAGCAUGACCCCCAGCAUUGGCACUGAAACACUGGCCAAACACCUACGGGUGGCUGCAGUCGAGAAUCUUCCACAAUGGGGGAAACCCUGAUGGAGCGAUGCUGCGUGCGGGAUGAAGGCCUUCGGGUUGUAAACCGCUUUUGUAGGGGACGAGAUUUUUGACGGUACCCUUUCGAAUAAGAGGUUGCUAACUCUGUGCCAGCAGCAGCGGUAAUACAGAGACCUCAAGCGUUAUCCGGAUUUACUGGGCGUAAAGCGUCUGUAGGGGGUUUAUUAAGUUCCAAGUAAAAUUUCAAGGCUCAACUUUGAAUUCGCUUGGAAAACUAAUAAACUGGAGUCUAGCAGAGGUGCAUGGAACUUGUGGUGUAGGAGUGAAAUCCGUUGAUAUCACAAGGAACACCAAAGGCGAAGGCAUUGCACUGGGCUAGCACUGACCCUGAGAGACGAAAGCGUGGGGAGCAAAACGGAUUAGAUACCCGUGUAGUCCACGCCCUAAACGAUGAAUGCUAAAUGUUCGGGGAUUCGACCCCCUGGGUGUUACAGCUAACGCGUUAAGCAUUCCGCCUGGGAAGUACGGCCGCAAGGCUAAAACUCAAAGGAAUAGACGGGGAUCCGCACAAGCGGUGGAGCGUCUGGUUUAAUUCGACAGUAAGCGUGGUACCUCACCAGGGUUUGACAUCCCUUGACAGCCUUGGAAACAGGGUUUCCUUCGGGCAAGGUGACAGGUGCUGCAUGGUCGUCGUCAGUUCGUGCCGUGAGGUGUUCCGUUAAGUCGGGAAACGAACGAAACCCCUAUUGCAUGUUACAAUUUCUCAUGCAAGACUGCCCGGAUAUACUGGGAGGAAGGUGGGGAUGACGUCAGAUCUGCAUGGUCCUUAUACCCUGGGCGACACAGGCGCUACAAUGGCAGAGACAAAGGGUUGCAAAACCGCAAGGUGAAGCUAAUCCCAAAAACUUUGUCUAAGUUCGGAUUGAAGGCUGCAAUUCGCCUUCAUGAAGCUGGAAUCGCUAGUAAUCGUGAAUCAGCCACGUCACGGUGAAUAUGUUCCCGGAUCUUGUACUCACCGCCCGUCACACCAAGAGAGUUGGUAGCUCCCGAAG